GAUGAACGCUGGCGGCGUGCCUAAUACAUGCAAGUCGAGCGAACGGACGAGAAGCUUGCUUCUCUGAUGUUAGCGGCGGACGGGUGAGUAACACGUGGAUAACCUACCUAUAAGACUGGGAUAACUUCGGGAAACCGUAGCUAAUACCGGAUAAUAUUUUGAACCGCAUGGUUCAAAAGUGAAAGACGGUCUUGCUGUCACUUAUAGAUGGAUCCGCGCUGCAUUAGCUAGUUGGUAAGGUAACGGCUUAGCAAGGCAACGAUGCAUAGCCGACCUGAGAGGGUGAUCGGCCACACUGGAACUGAGACACGGUCCAGACUCCUACGGGAGGCAGCAGUAGGGAAUCUUCCGCAAUGGGCGAAAGCCUGACGGAGCAACGCCGCGUGAGUGAUGAAGGUCUUCGGAUCGUAAAACUCUGUUAUUAGGGAAGAACAUAUGUGUAAGUAACUGUGCACAUCUUGACGGUACCUAAUCAGAAAGCCACGGCUAACUACGUG
Molecule: ribosomal RNA, 497 nt
Filed under: uncultured bacterium
Lineage: Bacteria
Description: partial 16S ribosomal RNA
Rfam family: Bacterial small subunit ribosomal RNA
Source: RNAcentral